This 313-nucleotide ribosomal RNA is filed under the name uncultured Francisella sp. Its description in RNAcentral is "bacterial SSU rRNA". It matches the Rfam family "Bacterial small subunit ribosomal RNA", at positions 217 to 517 of the family's 1533-position model. The record is from RNAcentral. Lineage: Bacteria; Pseudomonadati; Pseudomonadota; Gammaproteobacteria; Thiotrichales; Francisellaceae.
GCAGAUGGAUGAGCCUGCGUUGGAUUAGCUAGUUGGUGAGGUAAUGGCCUACCAAGGCUACGAUCCAUAGCUGAUUUGAGAGAAUGAUCAGCCACAUUGGGACUGAGACACGGCCCAAACUCCUACGGGAGGCAGCAGUGAGGAAUAUUGGACAAUGGGGGAAACCCUGAUCCAGCAAUGCCAUGUGUGUGAAGAAGGCCUUAGGGUUGUAAAGCACUUUAGUUGGGGAAGAAAGCUUUAAGGUUAAUAAACCUUGAGGAAAGGACGUUACCCCAAAAGAAAUAAAGCACCGGCUAACUCCGUGCUGGCCCAG